This 253-nucleotide ribosomal RNA is filed under the name uncultured bacterium. Its description in RNAcentral is "partial 16S ribosomal RNA". It matches the Rfam family "Bacterial small subunit ribosomal RNA", at positions 524 to 776 of the family's 1533-position model. The record is from RNAcentral.
UACGUAGGUGGCAAGCGUUGUCCGGAUUUAUUGGGUUUAAAGGGUGCGUAGGCGGCCCUGUAAGUCAGUGCUGAAAUAUCCCGGCUUAACCGGGAGGGUGGCAUUGAUGCUGCGGGGCUAGAGUACAGAUGAGGUAGGCGGAAUUGACGGUGUAGCGGUGAAAUGCUUAGAUAUCGUCAAGAACACCUAUAGCGAAGGCAGCUUACUAGGCUGUAACUGACGCUGAGGCACGAAAGUGUGGGGAUCAAACAGG